Molecule: long non-coding RNA, 913 nt
Filed under: Mus musculus (house mouse)
Lineage: Eukaryota; Metazoa; Chordata; Mammalia; Rodentia; Muridae
Description: predicted gene 12408
Source: RNAcentral
GCAUACAAGUCAUUUACAAAUCAUGUGGAAGCAAUGUGCUGGGUGGUAGAGGAGAUAGUUCUGCUGAAAGAGGCCCCUUAGCCUCCUGUGCGUCUUAUCCGUGCAGUGGAUGGCCAACUGGCUUCCAUCUCAGGCUGACUGAUGGGCACAGGCUUAGCUGGAAGAUGUUUGUGGCCUUUCGUCACCCUCAAGCUCAUAAAACCCCGAGGAAGCUAUGACUUCGUCACUUUACGACCUCGCUUCAUUUCCUGUUCUGAGGACAUUGCUCUGUGCGAAUGACCUCAGAACUGCCUAGAAGCCGAGAGCUGUGUCGUCUGGCUUACGUUGAGCUGUGCUUCAAGUUCCAGCCUCAAAGUGGUGACACUCCUCCAGCCCCUUGGACCAUGCGGAGACCUGCACCACCUACCUACAUCUCUAUGUCUGGGCCAGCAGUGUUGCCUGGCUUCUUGGCAAAUCCCUGGUUUGCUUGGUUCUGGGUAGGUAACCUGUGCCCAGAAGAGUGAGCCAUCUCAGGAUGUCCUCAGAUGAAGGAAGACGACACAGCUCAUAUCCUGGAGGGGAGCAGGAAGUCCAAGCUGAACCCUCCCACAGAGGUCCUCGAUUGAGUAGAGCUACCCCAGGGCAGUGUGGACAGUGGGAGAAGUCCUGAGCUAAUGUGUGCUGUGGUCAUGUCAGGGACUGCGGUGCCUCAGACCAAGAGAAUGGCAAAGCCUUUCCUGAGUGAGGCUCAGAGGGAAGGAAGCCUCCUCUGUCCUGACCUGGAAUGCUGACAGUAUGUGUACAAACUGUCAACUACAGCUUCCUCCUCCCUGGUGACCCCAGCCUGAGACUGUGCCCCUACAGAGACCCUGUUCUCAGAUCAGCUAAAUCUGCCUCCUUGUUCAGCCAAAUGCCAUAAACUCCCUGAUUCAGA